CAUUCCACGGAUUCCGUGACGCAGCUAACGCAUUAAGUUCCCCGCCUGGGGAGUACGGCCGCAAGGCUAAAACUCAAAGGAAUUGACGGGGACCCGCACAAGCGGCGGAGCAUGCGGAUUAAUUCGAUGCAACGCGAAGAACCUUACCAAGGCUUGACAUAUACGAGAACGGGCCAGAAAUGGUCAACUCUUUGGACACUCGUAAACAGGUGGUGCAUGGUUGUCGUCAGCUCGUGUCGUGAGAUGUUGGGUUAAGUCCCGCAACGAGCGCAACCCUCGUUCUAUGUUGCCAGCACGUAAUGGUGGGAACUCAUGGGAUACUGCCGGGGUCAACUCGGAGGAAGGUGGGGAUGACGUCAAAUCAUCAUGCCCCUUAUGUCUUGGGCUUCACGCAUGCUACAAUGGCCGGUACAAAGGGCUGCAAUACCGCGAGGUGGAGCGAAUCCCAAAAAGCCGGUCCCAGUUCGGAUUGAGGUCUGCAACUCGACCUCAUGAAGUCGGAGUCGCUAGUAAUCGCAGAUCAGCAACGCUGCGGUGAAUACGUUC
This 546-nucleotide ribosomal RNA is filed under the name uncultured bacterium. RNAcentral describes it as "bacterial SSU rRNA". It matches the Rfam family "Bacterial small subunit ribosomal RNA", at positions 829 to 1373 of the family's 1533-position model. The record is from RNAcentral.